RNAcentral lists this ribosomal RNA (699 nucleotides) under Triticum aestivum (bread wheat). RNAcentral describes it as "partial small subunit ribosomal RNA". The record is from RNAcentral. Lineage: Eukaryota; Viridiplantae; Streptophyta; Magnoliopsida; Poales; Poaceae.
AUGAUACGGAGGGAGCACGUGGUAGAAACAUCACUCUCAAACCUCCAGAAAAUUCACGGCAUCGCACUCCCGCACCGCACCAGCACUCUAUCGUGCCGUCACUAUACAAGGCCACUGGCCAGCAGCCUCCUGGCUGAGCACACCAGCCAGUACUGUACGUACUAUCGCAGGCCACACAGCCAUGCAGAGCGAGGUUUUUGGCUGCUAUGGGCGACGCUCGCCGCCGCGCUACUCUGCUACCUGACCAGCGAAGCCCGCCGCAGGGGCACCGGGGCACGGCAGCCUCCGGGCCCGAUGCCGCUCCCGGUCCUCGGCAACCUGCUCGACCUGGGCGGCAACCUCCACCACACGCUGGCGCGCCUGGCCCGCGCCCACGGCCGCGUCAUGAAGCUCAAGCUCGGCCUGGUCACCACCGUGGUGGUCUCCUCCCGUGACGCCGCGCGGGAGGCCUACACCAGGUACGACCGCCAACUGGCCGCGCGCGCGGUCCCGGACGCCGCCAACGCGGUCGGCAACUCCGGGCGGUCCAUGAUCUGGCUGCCCAGCUCCGACCCGCUCUGGAAGACGCUGCGCGGCAUCGUGGCCUCGCCGCCGCGCGCGGCCUGCGCGAGCGCAAGGUGCGCGACAUGGUGGGCUACUUCCGCCGCCACGCGGGGGAGGAGGUGGACGUCGGCCAUGCCGUGUACGGCGGCGUGCUGA